GAUGAACGCUGGCGGCGUGCCUAAUACAUGCAAGUAGAACGCUGAAGGAGGAGCUUGCUCUUCUGGAUGAGUUGCGAACGGGUGAGUAACGCGUAGGUAACCUGCCUGGUAGCGGGGGAUAACUAUUGGAAACGAUAGCUAAUACCGCAUGACAACAGUUAUUGCAUGAUAACUGUUUAAAAGGGGCAACUGCUCCACUACCAGAUGGACCUGCGUUGUAUUAGCUAGUUGGUGAGGUAACGGCUCACCAAGGCGACGAUACAUAGCCGACCUGGGAGGGUGAUCGGCCACACUGGGACUGAGACACGGCCCAGACGCCUACGGGAGGCAGCAGUAGGGAAUCUUCGGCAAUGGACGGAAGUCUGACCGAGCAACGCCGCGUGAGUGAAGAAGGUUUUCGGAUCGUAAAGCUCUGUUGUAAGAGAAGAACGAGUGUGAGAGUGGAAAGUUCACACUGUGACGGUAUCUUACCAGAAAGGGACGGCUAACUACGUG
This 495-nucleotide ribosomal RNA is filed under the name uncultured bacterium. RNAcentral's name for it is "partial 16S ribosomal RNA". It matches the Rfam family "Bacterial small subunit ribosomal RNA", at positions 28 to 507 of the family's 1533-position model. The record is from RNAcentral.